RNAcentral lists this long non-coding RNA (566 nucleotides) under Papio anubis (olive baboon). RNAcentral describes it as "lncRNA (ENSPANG00000041531.1)". Lineage: Eukaryota; Metazoa; Chordata; Mammalia; Primates; Cercopithecidae. The record is from RNAcentral.
AUGUGUCUGUUCUGUGUUUGUGCCUUUCUUGGCAGGAGGAGGCGGGAUGCACCAUCCUGGGGGCACGGAUGGGAAGUUGAGGCCCUUAGCUUCAAGAUGUUCUCCCAUUCCCUGGGAUGGAGCUGGAGAGAAGGCUCUGGUCCCCACAGUGGUCAUACUCCAUGCCUGCCAUCCCUGCUGGAAAACUGCAGAAUUUGCUGGUCUGCAAGCUACAGCCAUUCUCCACUGGGAGGCUGUUUACCUUUCUCAACAUUGGAACUGAGCAAAAUGGAGCUGGAGAGAGAACUUCAAAAUGAGUGUGACACUGGUUACUUCAAAAUGAGUGUGACACUGGUUUCCUCACAGUGCUCUCAGGACAGCUUUGUGUGGGUUCGUGAGACACAAUUGUAAUUAUUUUCUAAAGUGUGAUAUAAGAUUAUGAUUACCAGGAAAAUCUCUCUGCCCUUCAAAGUACAGCCUUCCAAGUUUUGGGGGUGAGAAGGUGUGUGUGUAACAUAUGUGUGUGAGGAGGGUGGGUAAAGUGUAAGUGCGGAAGUCUGUGUUUGCCCACAGGGGCGUCUGGGGCC